This 253-nucleotide ribosomal RNA is filed under the name uncultured bacterium. RNAcentral describes it as "partial 16S ribosomal RNA". It matches the Rfam family "Bacterial small subunit ribosomal RNA", at positions 524 to 776 of the family's 1533-position model. The record is from RNAcentral.
UACGAAGGGUGCAAGCGUUACUCGGAAUUACUGGGCGUAAAGCGUGCGUAGGCGGUUUGUUAAGUCUGCUGUGAAAGCCCCGGGCUCAACCUGGGAACGGCAGUGGAUACUGGCAAGCUAGAGUGUGUCAGAGGAUGGUGGAAUUCCCGGUGUAGCGGUUGAAUGCGUAGAGAUCGGGGGGAACAUCAGUGGCGAAGGCGGCCAUCUGGGACAACACUGACGCUGAGGCACGAAUGCGUGGGGAGCAAACAGG